RNAcentral lists this ribosomal RNA (450 nucleotides) under uncultured bacterium. RNAcentral's name for it is "partial 16S ribosomal RNA". It matches the Rfam family "Bacterial small subunit ribosomal RNA", at positions 338 to 795 of the family's 1533-position model. The record is from RNAcentral.
CCUACGGGUGGCAGCAGUGGGGAAUAUUGGACAAUGGGGGAAACCCUGAUCCAGCAAUGCCGCGUGUGUGAAGAAGGCCUGCGGGUUGUAAAGCCCUUUCGGUUGGGAAGAAAAGUUUGGCGCCAAUACCGCCGAACCUUGACGUUACAGACAGAAGAAGCACCGGCUAACUCUGUGCCAGCAGCCGCGGUAAUACAGAGGGUGCAAGCGUUGAUCGGAAUCUCUGGGCGUGGUCAGUGCGUUCGGGUUCGAAAUCCCCGGGCUUAACCUGGGAACUGCAUUCGAUACUACAUGGCUAGAGUAUGGUAGAGGGAAGUGGAAUUUCCGGUGUAGCGGUGAAAUGCGUAGAUAUCGGAAGGAACACCAAUGGCGAAGGCAGCUUCCUGGACUAAUACUGACACUGAGGCACGAAAGCGUGGGUAGCAAACAGGAUUAGAUACCCUAGUAGUC